RNAcentral lists this long non-coding RNA (1066 nucleotides) under Mytilus galloprovincialis (Mediterranean mussel). Lineage: Eukaryota; Metazoa; Mollusca; Bivalvia; Mytilida; Mytilidae. The record is from RNAcentral.
CAGCUUGUAAGAUAUUUAAUUCAUAAUCAACAGACAUAUCUUUAUACAACAACACAAACAGUUAACAAUAUAAGGGUAACAGGUACAAAAUAAAUUGUACUAUAGUAUGUAAGCGAAGAUUCUACAAUUUACAUAAAUGCUAAUAAAACUUAGCUCAAACAAAGCCUUAAACAAUACAAAAUGCAGAAAUUUUUAUUGAAUGUGCUACUGAAAUACUUCGAUCUGACCUGGCAUGACGAGGUAGAUUAUAGGGUGUGUUGUAUAAUGAGGACAGGUAAUAUUAGUAAGAAACAGUGAAAGAUAAUACUUGUAUUUCAAAAAAUUAAUUAUAUUGGUAGCUAUCUAAUUAAAAAAAUAAAAUUUCAGACUAGAAUAUUCAUAAUGUUAGUGUAAAAAGUAAUUUAUAGUAUUGAACUUUAUUUUAUAAACAUUAUUAAGUAAAAAAAAUCUUAUCUCAAGGUACAAGAUAAAACAUAUUCUAGUAUUAAAGAUGAAUAAUUAUAUAAAGUAUAAACAAUAAAUUAAGAAAUAUUAUUUGUAUAUGAUGUUUUAUGUGUAGAUGUUCUAUAUACAGAUAUAUUGAGGUAAUUUUUUUUAUUACAAAUUGAUGUCAUGAUUGUAUUAAAUGGUUACCGUUCUUGUGUUAAUGGAUUUUAUAAAGAAAUUAAGACAAGCCAUGCCAGAUCAGAUAAAAAUAUAAUCAGUGAAUUCACUGCUAUAACUCAUUACAUAUACUUGUUUUGCUAUAACUCAUUAUAAUAUAUUACUUAAAUAUCAGUUUCUUUUUUAUACUUUAUUCAAGACUUAAUUUUUAAAAACUUUUAUAGAGAUAUAAAGUUUUUUUGUGAAAUUCAGAUUGUCAUAUAUGUAUAACAAAAUAUUGUGUUACACUAAAAGAAUUUAUAAAAUGUAAUUUUUAUUUUAGCUAAAAUUGCCUGUUUGGAAGUUUUUACAGUACAAUUGUAUGCUUGGAAUGAUGAACAUUUUAACACUUUUUCCUAGAACUACAAAAGACGAUAUUGCAUCUAUAAUACAGUGGAACACAAAGUAUAAUAGCACUAUAGUA